GGGCCCGCACAAGCGGUGGAGUAUGUGGUUUAAUUCAAUGCAACGCGAAGAACCUUACCAGGGUUUGACAUCCUGCAAAUCUCUUGGAAACAGGAGAGUGCCUUCGGGAAUGCAGUGACAGGUGGUGCAUGGCUGUCGUCAGCUCGUGUCGUGAGAUGUUGGGUUAAGUCCCGCAACGAGCGCAACCCACGUCUUUAGUUGCCAGCAUUUAGUUGGGAACUCUAAAGAGACUGCCGGUGAUAAGCCGGAGGAAGGUGGGGACGACGUCAAGUCCUCAUGGCCCUUACGGGAUGGGCUACACACGUGCUACAAUGGCAGUGACAAUGGGUUAACCCCCAAAACUGUCUCAGUUCGGAUUGGAGUCUGCAACUCGACUCAUGAAGUCGGAAUCGCUAGUAAUCG
This 402-nucleotide ribosomal RNA is filed under the name uncultured bacterium. RNAcentral's name for it is "bacterial SSU rRNA". It matches the Rfam family "Bacterial small subunit ribosomal RNA", at positions 917 to 1344 of the family's 1533-position model. The record is from RNAcentral.